RNAcentral lists this transfer RNA (75 nucleotides) under Flavobacteriaceae bacterium. RNAcentral's name for it is "tRNA-Glu". It matches the Rfam family "tRNA". Rfam says of the family: Transfer RNA (tRNA) molecules are approximately 80 nucleotides in length. RNAcentral also lists the same sequence under 4 other names. Lineage: Bacteria; Pseudomonadati; Bacteroidota; Flavobacteriia; Flavobacteriales; Flavobacteriaceae. The record is from RNAcentral.
GUCCCCUUCGUCUAGCGGUUAGGACACCGGGUUUUCAUCUCGGCAACAGGGGUUCGAUCCCCCUAGGGGACGCCA